This 21-nucleotide non-coding RNA is filed under the name Caenorhabditis elegans. Lineage: Eukaryota; Metazoa; Nematoda; Chromadorea; Rhabditida; Rhabditidae. The record is from RNAcentral.
UGCGCCAAAAUCCAAAAAAAA